CAGAGAAACAGAAGAACAAAUGGAUGCUGCUGCCAGUGUCCACUCCCAGUCCUUUGAGGCCAAUCAGGAGGACAGGAGCAGAUCCACCAACCUCUAGAU
Molecule: long non-coding RNA, 99 nt
Organism: Gavialis gangeticus (Gharial)
Lineage: Eukaryota; Metazoa; Chordata; Crocodylia; Gavialidae
Exons: 3
Source: RefSeq, a predicted model, not a curated record